CGACACAGGUGGUCAGGUAGAGAAUACCAAGGCGCUUGAGAGAACUCGGGUGAAGGAACUAGGCAAAAUGGUGCCGUAACUUCGGGAGAAGGCACGCUGAUAUGUAGGUGAAGUCCCUCGCGGAUGGAGCUGAAAUCAGUCGAAGAUACCAGCUGGCUGCAACUGUUUAUUAAAAACACAGCACUGUGCAAACACGAAAGUGGACGUAUACGGUGUGACGCCUGCCCGGUGCCGGAAGGUUAAUUGAUGGGGUCAGCGCAAGCGAAGCUCUUGAUCGAAGCCCCGGUAAACGGCGGCCGUAACUAUAACGGUCCUAAGGUAGCGAAAUUCCUUGUCGGGUAAGUUCCGACCUGCACGAAUGGCGUAAUGAUGGCCAGGCUGUCUCCACCCGAGACUCAGUGAAAUUGAACUCGCUGUGAAGAUGCAGUGUACCCGCGGCAAGACGGAAAGACCCCGUGAACCUUUACUAUAGCUUGACACUGAACAUUGAGCCUUGAUGUGUAGGAUAGGUGGGAGGCUUUGAAGUGUGGACGCCAGUCUGCAUGGAGCCGACCUUGAAAUACCACCCUUUAAUGUUUGAUGUUCUAACGUGGACCCGUGAUCCGGGUUGCGGACAGUGUCUGGUGGGUAGUUUGACUGGGGCGGUCUCCUCCUAAAGAGUAACGGAGGAGCACGAAGGUUGGCUAAUCCUGGUCGGACAUCAGGAGGUUAGUGCAAUGGCAUAAGCCAGCUUGACUGCGAGCGUGACGGCGCGAGCAGGUGCGAAAGCAGGUCAUAGUGAUCCGGUGGUUCUGAAUGGAAGGGCCAUCGCUCAACGGAUAAAAGGUACUCCGGGGAUAACAGGCUGAUACCGCCCAAGAGUUCAUAUCGACGGCGGUGUUUGGCACCUCGAUGUCGGCUCAUCACAUCCUGGGGCUGAAGUAGGUCCCAAGGGUAUGGCUGUUCGCCAUUUAAAGUGGUACGCGAGCUGGGUUUAGAACGUCGUGAGACAGUUCGGUCCCUAUCUGCCGUGGGCGCUGGAGAACUGAGGGGGGCUGCUCCUAGUACGAGAGGACCGGAGUGGACGCAUCACUGGUGUUCGGGUUGUCAUGCCAAUGGCACUGCCCGGUAGCUAAAUGCGGAAGAGAUAAGUGCUGAAAGCAUCUAAGCACGAAACUUGCCCCGAGAUGAGUUCUCCCUGACCCUUUAAGGGUCCUGAAGGAACGUUGAAGACGACGACGUUGAUAGGCCGGGUGUGUAAGCGCAGCGAUGCGUUGAGCUAACCGGUACUAAUGAACCGUGAGGCUUAACCUU
This 1293-nucleotide ribosomal RNA is filed under the name Escherichia coli. RNAcentral's name for it is "partial 23S ribosomal RNA". It matches the Rfam family "Bacterial large subunit ribosomal RNA", at positions 1655 to 2925 of the family's 2925-position model. The record is from RNAcentral. Lineage: Bacteria; Pseudomonadati; Pseudomonadota; Gammaproteobacteria; Enterobacterales; Enterobacteriaceae.